This 105-nucleotide small nuclear RNA is filed under the name Suricata suricatta (meerkat). Lineage: Eukaryota; Metazoa; Chordata; Mammalia; Carnivora; Herpestidae. The record is from RNAcentral.
GUGCUGGCUUCAGCAGCACAUAUACUAAAGUGAAACGAUACAGAGAAGACAGCAUGGCCCCUGAGCAAGGAUGACAUUCAAAUUCAUGAAGCGUUCUAUAUUUAA